GGACACUCAUUGUACCUGUGAGGGAGCAGAGGGGCAGGUGUGUGAGAGGGGGCAUCUGCAAGGUCUCCGGGUGUGCAUGGGGCAGAUAGCCCUUGGCCAAGCCCACUGAGCUGCUGGCAGGCAUCUGACUGUGCCCUGUCUUGAGAUACAUAAGGAAUUUUGUGUCUUUUUCACAAAGAAAAUAUGAUGCCAUAAUGAGAAGCCAAUUUUCUUCUAUUGCUUAUUCUGCUUUAAACAAAGCAUGUGACUUUCAAAACAAGCAUGUGGAACCAAUCCAUCAUUAGUCUGGGACCUCCCUUCCUGAUUUUAGCAAAGCAAGUUCCUAAGUACUGUGAGAAAGGCUGUUCUCCUAAUGAUAACACUGAUGACGUUUGCAGAGCUGGGAAGCCUCAUGAGAAAACUUGUUAUGCAGAUUGAGAAGGAUCAGAUAAGCUUCUUCUACUUCAAUGGGAUCAAAAGUGGAGUCACAUUUUAAGAAAGCAUUCAAGCAUUAACAGAGGUUCAGCUGACAUGAAUCAUGCUGGGGAGCUCUGCCAGCCUACAUCUGCUUUGUACCUGCUGCUGCAAAGUUCUCCCAGUGUUCUUUAGAUAAUA
This is a long non-coding RNA of Lepidothrix coronata (blue-crowned manakin), 594 nucleotides long. RefSeq lists it as uncharacterized. The transcript is spliced from 3 exons. Lineage: Eukaryota; Metazoa; Chordata; Aves; Passeriformes; Pipridae. The record is from RefSeq and is a predicted model, not a curated record.